UCCCGAGUAGCUCAGUUGGUAGAGCAGCUGACUGUUAAUCAGCGGGUCGGGGGUUCAAGUCCCUCCUCGGGAG
Molecule: transfer RNA, 73 nt
Filed under: Gammaproteobacteria bacterium
Lineage: Bacteria; Pseudomonadati; Pseudomonadota; Gammaproteobacteria
Also listed under: 3 other names
Description: tRNA-Asn
Rfam family: tRNA
About the family: Transfer RNA (tRNA) molecules are approximately 80 nucleotides in length. Their secondary structure includes four short double-helical elements and three loops (D, anti-codon, and T loops). Further hydrogen bonds mediate the characteristic L-shaped molecular structure. tRNAs have two regions of fundamental functional importance: the anti-codon, which is responsible for specific mRNA codon recognition, and the 3' end, to which the tRNAs corresponding amino acid is attached (by aminoacyl-tRNA synthetases). tRNAs cope with the degeneracy of the genetic code in two manners: having more than one tRNA (with a specific anti-codon) for a particular amino acid; and 'wobble' base-pairing, i.e. permitting non-standard base-pairing at the 3rd anti-codon position.
Source: RNAcentral